Arabidopsis thaliana (thale cress) is the source of this 928-nucleotide RNA transcript. RefSeq lists it as uncharacterized. NCBI's taxonomy places the organism in Eukaryota, Viridiplantae, Streptophyta, Magnoliopsida, Brassicales, Brassicaceae. The record is from RefSeq. The transcript has 4 exons.
UUUUCCUAGAUACCAAAUCAGGUUCUUCUUGGGGUUGUUAGGAUUUUUCGGAAUCUUCUUUUUGUAGGAUUUUUGCAUGGGUCUUGUUUGAGUGAAGUUUCUGUUUUGGCCAUUUAAUUGCUUAUCGUGGUGUUGUGUUUGUCAUUUAAUAUCCUGGAAAAUCUCUCCUUUAUGAUGAGACGGACUCGAUUCUUUUUGCCCUUAGCUUUGGGCUCAUGUUCUAUGGUUGGUUCUUUUCUCUCAUUAAGAUCUAUUUCGUUUUGGAGUUUGUGGUUCGCUUUUUUGCCAUCUUAAGCGGUAUCUCUUCCAGUUUGAGGUUAUCGACUUCUCGGGUUGGUUUGACAUGUUUAAUACUAUCGACUACAAAAAGAUAGGCUAUUUCCAAUGGACGAAAUCGUCGGAAUAACGAUGGAAACAGCCGUAUUCGACGAAUUUUCGACGACAUAGAUUGGUCGAUUCUAUCUCGUCGGAAAUCUGAAUGUCGUCGCAAACGUGUUACAAAUUACCGACGGGUUUCCGACGAGAACGUUGUUGAAAAUCGGUCGGUAUAUUCUUCCGACGGUUUACCGACAACGUUAUUCCCGAUGGAUUCCGACGAAGUAUUUCCGACAGGCUCUUUAAAGAUCUCAGAAUCCCAUGAUGGGCCGGCAUAAAAAUAUGUGGUGCUUUGGUUUAGGCUACCUAACCCUACCACACGACCCCAGUUUGACGGAAUUUCCUGCAUAUAACAACUGUUAGUAAAUUUUUAAAAAUUAUACAAAAAAUUAAUAUUAUGAAAUAAACCUUACCUCAAGAACAAUGCGGUUGAUUUUUUCUCGGGCCUGGACGUUAGAUGGUGAGGAACCAUCAUCAUUUUGGGGAAGCUGUGUGAGGAACUCCGUCAUCUUUCUCUUCAAUGUCUCGACGAGACCCGCGAUGUAACCGUCUU